RNA transcript from Brassica napus (rape), 4557 nucleotides. RefSeq lists it as uncharacterized. The record is from RefSeq and is a predicted model, not a curated record. Lineage: Eukaryota; Viridiplantae; Streptophyta; Magnoliopsida; Brassicales; Brassicaceae. The transcript has 5 exons.
AGGAAGUAGAGUAUUCACCAAAAAAAAAACUAAGAGGAAGUAGAGUUGUUAGAAACCCCAUACGUGUCGUUUUAUUAUUGGAUUUUCUCUUUUUUGCCUUCUCUCUCUUCUUCUUCGUCUUCUCUUCGUCUUCGUUCUUUGUUUUUUUUCUGGUCUGAGAAAUCGAUGGGGACAACAAAUCGGGUGGGGAUCAUUUUCGGUGGUGUAGAUGAAACGUGGUUGCUAUCAAGGAGAUCGCCAUGGAAAUUGCGACGUCGGGGAUUUUCAUCUCGAGGAAGAUCAGUCACCCCAACGUCAUCCGCUUCAUCGACAUGAUCGAGGUUCGUCUUCUUUUGCUCUUCUUGACAUGAUUGAGGAUGUUGUUAGCUCGUAUAAAGCUCCCAUCUUUCUUGGACCAGCUUCACCACAACAGCUACGUAGGGAAAGGAUAGCUGAAAGGAUCAUGGCGCUUCAAGAACUUGUACCCACUGUUAACAAGGUCUCUAUCUUUCACCUUCUCUACGGCAGCGCAAGAUGCUGGAUUCAGAUACUAUGGAGACUCGUCUCUUGCUUUUGCAAGUGGAGCCAAGACACACAUGUGACAACUAAAAAGACAGUAGCCUGUGACACAAAUGAACAACAAUCUGAUCCAGUCUCUGUCUCUGGAACUUUGUUGUCAAAACGAAACAUUGUGCUUGAUUAUUAGUGUUUGUGAAACAUAGGCCAUGAACAUUUGAAUGUUGCAGCACCUACGAUCAAAAUGUUGUUUGAUUGACCUUUGCUUAUCUCUGUUUCUAUAACAUUUAAAUUUGAUAACUAAACUUUAAAAAAAAAAUUGUUUUUAAGAACCUCAAAGGGGUUCUCCCAUUGGACCUUCACAAAAGUAAUUAUAUUAACAAGGGUUCUUAACUUCAUAAAGUACACACUUAAUAAUUAAACUAAUGGUUAGAACCCAUCAAGGGUUCUAACCAAUGGACAUGCUCUUAGCCUCUGUUUCUCAAGUCAUCGGAAUUUGUAGAUCUCACGGAUUUUCUUUUAUCGAGGAUAAUUAAAAUUUUGUUUUUCGAAGCUUUUAAUUAACAUGAUCGUGAGAUAUAUUAAUAAAAAAUUGUUACAUGUGACAAUAAAAACAUACAAUUAUAUGAUAAUAAUUUUCUGCUUUAAAAUCUUAAUAAAAAUUAGAAAUUUUCCCUUUUAAAUCCUAACUAAAAGAGAAAUGAUAUUUUUUUUUAAAAAGUAUAGCCUAAAAUAAUCUUGAUAUUAACAAAAAUAAAUUAUCAAAUUGUAAAAUUGUAAAAUUAUUUAAUAUUAAUUGGAAAUAAGUAUUUGAUAGUAAUUUUUUUUUCUAAAAUUCUAAAAAAAUAUAAUUGCAAAAGAUUAUGUGAUAGUAAUUUACUUUUCUAAAAUCCCUUAAAAACUGUAAAAGAAAAUUUGAUAGUAAUUUUCCAUUUUUUUAAAUCCUAAACAAAAAGAUUUUUUUAAUAUUUUUAUUUUAUAAAAUCCUAAUAAAAAUAAAAUUUUAAAAUCUAUUUGAUAGUAAUUUUUAAAACUAAUAUAACAAAUAACAGAUGUGCAACUUACAGAACCAUAUCUAUAUAUAUAUCUAGUACAUCAUAAAAAUAAUCCUUUUCUUUUCCUCUUAGAAAUGAGAACCAGUUUGAAAAAAGAGAAAUUAUGAUGUAUAUACACGGAAAUAUUCGAAAUUUGCCAAAUGCCACCCUAUUGAUCUAUUUUAUUUUAAUACCAUUUCGCCCCUACAUCCUAACACGCUUAUCUUUUAGUCUUCACCGCCUUGGUGUCAGAUCCUAUUAGUAGAACACACUAUUACACGGCAUGUCACUUAAGGUUUCGAGGCUUCUCUAGAUUAUUUCUAAUAUUUUUACUUUAAUGACGAAAAGGGUAAAUGAAAAGUCAGCUUUUACAUUUACGUGUAAGGGAUCCUUUUGAAAUAGCACUCUUUUCCAAUUUUUGCAUCUUCAUUUCUCCAGACCUACUUUUAUUUCUUUAGAGAAACAAGACGCUUUCUUUAUCUCCGAGCGACACUAUGGAGCAAACAAUACUGCAUGAACGGAUGUUUGUAGCUGGUGAAGAACCAUCCGGAGAUAGAGUAAACACUUACCACAAACCGAAGAGAAUUGAAUCUAUAUUAGAUGCGCUCGAGCCAGAAGAGGUUCAUUUCCUGCAGCAGACGAUGUUUGGGAAGAUCAUUUCACUAGCAGAGAAUCCUUCAUUUUCAGGAAGUUUCGGCCAGUUCGUGAUUGUCCGAAUCCUCCACGUGAAAAAAGUACAAGACUUGGUUUCUCUUCUCUGGAAAGCCGCUCAGGAUGUCAAUGCACGAGUUCGCACAAGUCACCAGCCUCAAUUGCAGCAAGAUUCCGAAGAUAAACUGCAAACAGAAGAAGCACCCCAUUAAGGAAAAGCUUUACUGGAGGGAACUAAUUGGAUCUCUCAAGUUCUGCUUAGUCGACACGGCCAUCGAAAUGCUACAGAAGAAGAAAAUAAAAGACAGAGAGAUGCGUUUGAAGUAUGUGUGUCUGACUUUUACCUCUUGUGUUUUAAUCCCGACAUCACACUUUCCUCGGAUUAUCCCUGAGCAUGUGGAGAUGAUACGCAAGUUGGAAAAUUUUUCUGAAAUAUCCGUGGGGGAAUGUGACAUUUGAGAUGCUUGUCACUGGAAUUAAAAUACUGUGAUAGUUAUGACAGUCAAAAUAAAUGUCAAUGGACCAAAACACCUAUUUCGUAGUAUCAAACUUGUUUGCAGUUAAGAAAUUUAAUGCAGAAAGUCAAAUCUAAAAAAUAUUAGAGACAUACCUCGAACACAAAGGGAUAACGACUACUGUAAAAGGAUCUUCGCCACUAGAGCAAUCUCACUCUAACAUGUUUCUUUCUCUCUCUAUCGAUUAUGCUUUACAUUUAUGUUUUCCCAGACCUCCAUUAAAUACACUACCAAAAUCCCAAAAAAAAUUCGGAUAACCUGUAAUUCCCCCCCCCCCCAUUUUUACGAUCCACAGAUGUUUCCAGGGGCUUUUGUUUCGAUCCGUUUGUACUUGACAGAGUAACCUAAAGAAACCGGUCGCUCGAAAAGAUGUCAGCCGGAAAGCUAUAUCAGAAUAGUAUCUUUUGUUUGCACUUCUGAAGAUCACGCCGACUCGCAACUUUUCACCUACUCGCCGCACGUCUCGAGGCGAUAAGGACAUUUUUGGAAAGGGGGACGCAAAAAGGUACGGGCCCAACAAGUUCUUUUUGUUUUUGGGUACUUUUUUAAUUUUCUAGCGAUUGGAAUAUAUUGACCCUAUUAUCUCUUGAAAAAAAUCUUAAAGUGUAAACUCUUCUUUAAAAAAGAGUUACUCAAAAUUAUAUUUAUAAUUAUUUUGUUUAUAAUUAAUGUGAUAUAUAAAGUUUCAAUGAAGAUAUAUGAGUUAUUAUUUAUUAAUAUAUUUAAAAUUUUUGUCAAAAAUAAUUAUUUGUUAAGAAAUGAUACUUUAAUGGUGAUAUAUGUUUAUCAGUCAUUAAUUCAUUAUCAUAUUUAAAACUUUUUUGUCAAAAAUAUAAAUUUUAUUAAAAAAAAGAAUUAUACGUGUAACAGUUAAAUUGAAGCCUUGUCAAUUUUUGUUAAAAUGAACCAUGACAUAUGUAAAUCAAAAUUUAAAUAAUGUUUAGAGAAUGAGUUUACGGAAAAAAAAAAAAGAAAAAAACAUAAAGUAGAAACAAAUGGACAUAGACAGCGGCACGAUCCACAAGAUAACUGCUUUACCAAAUAAUUAAAUUUUGGUUCGGUUCAAGUAUCCGCUAUUCAAUGGGUAAAGUCAACACUGGGCCGGGUCAUGGUGGGAAAGAGUCCAUGGGCUACCUGAAAUAACCAUAGGGUUUUCUAUUUUUUUUUUCUCAGCAUCUUUUCCUCACCUGCGAUCCUUCGCCAUUUCUCCAGCGUCUCCCUCAGAACUCAAUCCUUUAUUCCGCUUCUACCAACACUUUGGUGUUUCUUUAUACUUGAGUGAGCCAUGGGGAGAAAGGCUGGAAAUUUGUACAUAAACCCGAAAAAGCUCGGUGGUAUAGCGAAACCAUGUAUGAAGGAGAUGGUGACGUUCCUCAACUGCAUGGCUCUCAACAAAUGCAAAGAUGAUAACUGCGAGAAACAGAAGAACCUCCUGAGCGUUUGUAUGAACGGACAUGCGGAGAAGUCCAAGUCGUGGGGAAACAUCAAUUACCAUUUGCAGAGGCUAACCCGCGGAAGAAAGUGAUGUGGCAUAUGGAGCUUGUUCUAUCCAUAGACUGAUGGGUCAAAUGGUAGUUAUAAUGAUCUUAUUGAUUUCUAAGUUUGUCUCCCUGUGCUUUUUUGGGUAUUCCAUAUUUAUAAGUUGUUGGCAUUUAGAAGAAGAAGAAACUUUGGACAUAUUGUUCACCUAAGGAGAAAGGAUUUGGUUUCCUUGGUUUUGCAAUAAACAUGUCUUCCGUGUCAAGUCAGAGAGGUCCAUGAGUAUUAGUGUUCUCUAGAAACAUAAACUACAUCUAUGAAUCAAACCAUGAGUUUUAAGUUUUGUAUUGGUUUUACAUAAUAUUAUCAAAUUUUAUUGAUAA